UGGGGAGCCUGAAUGCUCUGCCCUAGGUCACUCCAUCUGCAUUGCUCAGGCUCAAACUUGCCUGACUGAGAAACUCAUCCUUCUGAACAAGUUGCACAAGAGCCCUCACACAGUCUGGUAUACCUGAGACAUACUGUGGAUGUAUAGAGCAUGCUGAGAUUGUGAAGAGGUGAGAAAUUCUGUGUACAUCUAAAGCACAAAUGAAUAUGAAGCAACAGGAGGGUGGAACUUGGAUGGUUCCAUGAUAGGAUGUCCCUGGAGGGAUGGAAGGACUGUGAUCUGUGGAAAAAAAGAUGGUGACAAGGGGCAGCUGCUGUAGAGGGGAUGAAGUGAACUGCCGGUUGGACCUUAAAGGGGAUGGAAAGAGCCUCCUAUGGACCAGAGAGGAUUAAAUUUGCUGCAUUUCAGACAGGUCUUAAUUUUAAGCAACCCUGGAGUUGAUGACAUGCGUCCAAGGACACAGCAGAAACUGUUUAGAAAGAUUCUUCUGCAACUGGAUUGGGAGGGAAUGAGGGUCUGGAAAGGAAAACCUUGAAUAAAUUGCCUCAGCAGAAAUGUUAUUAGAUAUGGAUUUAAGUAAUGUGAUUACCAGUGAGUGGUAAUUUUGAAGUAUCUGUGUGGGAACUGCUUGAGGAAUCAUUGCACUACUGAAAUCAAACCAUGAUUCAGAUUUAAACCUAAUCUUACUCUAACCUAUCGUGAAUAUUAUCAACACCUUUCUAUCCCUUCUGAAAAUAAAUGAAGACGACAAGAAAUAAUUCCCCAAGGAUUGGAAUCCAUGGUAUCAGCUGCUCCUCUUCGAGGGAACUUUGAAACCUGGCCUUGCAGAAAAUUAUCUCCUUCCUUCCAGUCUUUCUCAGGUUGCUAUUGCUCACUGCGUUACUAGAAUUGGUCAUAAAACUGAGCCUUUUAGGAGGAGAGUUUCAUCCUAACCUGCAGAGCACUAGAGAAAAGCCCUGAUUUAUGCUGUUCCAUACAGAACGAUCUGUAAAGGUUGUUCAGCUGCUACUGAGAAGAAUUGAAUGUUUGGAAAGGACUUCAAUCCACCUGCUGUCAGAGACUCUGCAUAUCUCACGGCCUUCUGACUGAUCCAAGCUAUGCUGUUCACGCAUCAGGAAUAAGGAAAAGGUUUCAUUUGGAAACUGGCACUGGAGAGGAACUGAAGGGCUGCUGAUGGAAGAGCUGUGGCUUCAACUACCGUCCCAAUGGAUGUCCUGUGCCCAGUGCUGUGCCCAGAAGCGAAGUUACCACGGCUGACACAUUCAUCUGCUGCCAAUCUGCUCAGUGCCUGGAGAGAGCAGGCGCGGGAGUCAUGAAGCAUCUUUCAGUUGCUGCUGGGAAUGUCCCACCAGCAGCAUGGGGCGGCUCAGAGAUGGCUGCGGGGCACCGAGGGUCUGCAGGGAGGAAUCCUGAGCUUAUCCAGUAAAUGACAGCUACCGUGAGGGCGAGGGCUGGAGGGGAAACCAAGAUAAACUGUAUCCACCAACCCCCUGGCAUUUGCGUGAAAAGCCUCCCACGUCCAAGAUCUGCUCUGCCUCUUAAAAUGUACAUAGCUGCUUCAGGAGAGAAACCAGGCCCUUGAACAAGAAGGAACGAGAGAUGAUUCAUUAGGAAAAGGAAAGGAAUGUGGGUUUGCAGCGUGGCAAGAAAAGACUGUGACCCCCUCAGCUGCUCUGCACAAAGCAAUC
Aquila chrysaetos chrysaetos is the source of this 1688-nucleotide long non-coding RNA. RefSeq lists it as uncharacterized. The record is from RefSeq and is a predicted model, not a curated record. The transcript is spliced from 11 exons. Lineage: Eukaryota; Metazoa; Chordata; Aves; Accipitriformes; Accipitridae.